GUUAUAGCUGUUACGAACGGGAAGCAGACGUAUGGUACUGGCAGGCGUCGGCACUGCCUUGACUUCAUCAACGACACCGAAGCAUUUGAGUUCAUAUUGAGUAUUGAUGCACGAACUAGUGGAAGCUCAAUUAUAGUUCUACAUUAUCUUUACGGAACAUGACGAAGUAUAAAGGGGAGAGCAUAAUCGCAUUCUUCCUCAUCGAAAACAAUAGGAAAACAGAUGUUGUGAAGUUCCUCCGUAUCCCGAAUUCGAAGAUGAAUUAAAAAGAAAAACUUUCAAAUAUAGCUAACCCAGCACUUAACGAUUCAGUAAGAGAAUCGGAUUUUUCAAGAAAACAUAAAAGAAAGAAGUGUGUGGAUCAUAAGCAGAACGCCAAGAAUUCUAAAAUUGAUGUCAGAUUUUAUGUAUUUGCUAAACAUUUCAUCAAACGUAAAUUCCAUUAACAACCACAUGUUGUGUUGAAGAGGAUAAUUUGACUAACGGACAUAAAGAAUCGGAUCAGAAACAAACGUGUACUCCAGAGAAUCGUUACAGUCGUAAGAAUCGGAGGAAGUAAAUGGAAGAUUACGUUAUUUAUAAAUGCAAUUGUAUGAAAUAAUGUUAAGGGUUAAUUAUGUUAAAUUGGUAAACUGUCAUCAAAAUAUUGUUAACGUAAAGGAGAGAUGUAGUAGGCUGUAAUAUAUGUAGAACGUUAUAGUAGACUUUUGACAUGAGUAAAUAAAUCACUUCGACUUUGG
Molecule: long non-coding RNA, 740 nt
Organism: Armigeres subalbatus
Lineage: Eukaryota; Metazoa; Arthropoda; Insecta; Diptera; Culicidae
Exons: 3
Source: RefSeq, a predicted model, not a curated record